Astatotilapia calliptera (eastern happy) is the source of this 1402-nucleotide long non-coding RNA. The record is from Ensembl. NCBI's taxonomy places the organism in Eukaryota, Metazoa, Chordata, Actinopteri, Cichliformes, Cichlidae.
ACUGUGUAAACACUACAUUGUGUACAUGUUUUAUUUUGUAAAGGUUUGGUAAGGGAAUGAUUCUACAUUAACUGAGUCUCCUUGUCUGUGUUAGGUUUUCUCGAAACUUCAAACAGCAGUAGCAGAAGAAAAGGCACAUUUGAUGAAAAACACCCGGAGAAGAUUUCAAACACGAUAAAAGAAGAGAAGCUGAUUGUGUUAUGAUUCAUGGGAGAGAAGAGCUGAAUAGAUACAUCACAGACAAAUCUAACUACAAGUGAGCUUAAUGAAAGCUAAUACAAACUUCCAAGAUCAUUCUAAUCCUUUUUGAAAAACAGAAGAAGUACAAGGAGGUCAAACAGAAGGUAAACAGAUGAGCAAAGAGGCAAAACUAUGUGCAUGCUGUUCUGACUGGACACAGGUGACAUUAGCGAGAGCACGGCACACAGUCACAUGAAGAAAAGGAAGCAAAAACAGAUAAUCAGUAUGUGGCUCUGGGUGGUUUUUGCCUAAAAAGACUGGGAAUUCUAAAAUAUUAUGGCUUCUACUUGGAGUGCAGGUGCUGUAUUAAAGAAAAAAGAAAAAUUAAAGAAAAAAAAGGUGGACCUCACUAAUGUCUAAACUGGUUUCAAUCCUGCCUAGAAACAGGGGGAAGCAAGUCUUGAUAAUAAGACAGGCAGUAACUGAAACAAAAAGGCAGGGAACAGAGGAAACUACAGGAAAGCACACAAGUCACUUGAAAAUAACAUUAGAAACAAAUAAGGGAUACAAUAGAGACCGCGAUAUGUGUGCCUGUGCGUGCAUACGUGCAACCAGUAUAUAUGUGUGUGUGUGUGUGUGUGUGUGUGUGUGUGUGUGUGUGUGCAAAAACACAGAGAACAAAGAAGAGGAAAUGAACAAAAUGAGAUGGCAUGUGCAAAGUAAAUGGCACAAUUUGAUUAACAAAUGUGUCCAAAGCAUAAUUUUAGAGAACAACAGUGUUACAUUUGAACAGUGUGGCUCUGCUGGAGCACACCCAAAUCUACCUUUACUUCACAGAGUCUUUGGUAUGUUCAUUAUUAACUUGUCAGGGUAAAAUGAGUCAGGACUGAUUCAGUGGGUGCAUGAAUUAGCAACCCAUUUACAACACUACAAUGGGCAUCAAUUAAUGCUAGGCUGUUGGCUUGUGGAAAACAAGUCCAGCUUAGUUUGAAUAAUUUGUGAUUUGAUUUGUGUAACAAAAUCUGGAAUUUGUUAUUUUGUGUUAGUCAUGAAGAUGCAUGCAUGUGUAACCUGUUACUGAUGUUGUUUUAGACUCAAGUAAACCCAUUAUCAGUACUGGACAUGGCAAGGGAGCUUGAGUUUGUGUGAUGCUAGGUGACCUGGAAGUAAAAAGUAACAGAAGGCAUUCCCGCCCACUGGCUUCAGUGUCACUGGGCUGCCC